UGCACAGGUCAGGUGGAGUGGAUGGCCUA
RNAcentral lists this non-coding RNA (29 nucleotides) under Mus musculus (house mouse). Lineage: Eukaryota; Metazoa; Chordata; Mammalia; Rodentia; Muridae. The record is from RNAcentral.